This 254-nucleotide ribosomal RNA is filed under the name uncultured bacterium. RNAcentral describes it as "partial 16S ribosomal RNA". It matches the Rfam family "Bacterial small subunit ribosomal RNA", at positions 524 to 776 of the family's 1533-position model. The record is from RNAcentral.
UACGUAGGGUGCGAGCGUUGUCCGGAAUUAUUGGGCGUAAAGAGCUCGUAGGCGGCUUAGCAAGUCGGGUGUGAAAACUCCAGGCUCAACCUGGAGACGCCACCCGAUACUGCUGUGACUAGAGUCCGGUAGGGGAGCGUGGAAUUCCUGGUGUAGCGGUGAAAUGCGCAGAUAUCAGAAGGAACACCAGCGGCGAAGGCGGCGCUCUGGGCCGGAACUGACGCUGAGGAGCGAAAGCGUGGGGAGCAAACAGG